This 402-nucleotide long non-coding RNA is filed under the name Sus scrofa (pig). RNAcentral describes it as "lncRNA (ENSSSCG00005007300.1)". Lineage: Eukaryota; Metazoa; Chordata; Mammalia; Artiodactyla; Suidae. The record is from RNAcentral.
AUGGCUUCGUCUGCUGUAAGGGUCUCCAGCAGGGCCAUGCCACGUGCCUCGUCUCCCUCGGGGACGUCUCUGCAGGCUACUGCUUGGAAGUGCUGGCGUGUUGAACCCAAGAGACUUUGCACCCAGAAGCUUUCUCAUCCUGAUCAGCCUGUUUUCAAGUAUUUUCGGAAUAGAACAGCAAGGACAUUGGUUUUACUUCUGCAUUUGAAGAAUGGACCUGCACAGGGAACCAACUCUGAAGCAGCCUUUCUUUCCAAGAUGCUCAGCCUGUGUGCCUGCAUGCAGCCUGUGUGCAAUCUGUGUGCAUCCUGUGUGCUGGAGCAGCGGCUGGUGAUUAGAAGUCCCGGCUAUUUUCUGGGGUCAACAGCAGAUCCAAGAUCAUCUCAGCAACUCUCUGCCUGA